RNAcentral lists this ribosomal RNA (439 nucleotides) under uncultured bacterium. Its description in RNAcentral is "partial 16S ribosomal RNA". It matches the Rfam family "Bacterial small subunit ribosomal RNA", at positions 339 to 795 of the family's 1533-position model. The record is from RNAcentral.
CUACGGGUCGCUGCAGUGGGGAAUAUUGCACAAUGGACGAAAGUCUGAUGCAGCAACGCCGCGUGGAGGAUGACACAUUUCGGUGCGUAAACUCCUUUUAUAUAGGAAGAUAAUGACGGUACUAUAUGAAUAAGCGCCGGCUAACUCCGUGCCAGCAGCCGCGGUAAUACGGAGGGCGCAAGCGUUACUCGGAAUCACUGGGCGUAAAGAGCGUGUAGGCGGAUAGAUAAGUCAGGAGUGAAAUCCUAUGGCUCAACCAUAGAACUGCUCUUGAAACUGUCUAUCUAGAAUAUGGGAGAGGUAGAUGGAAUUUCUGGUGUAGGGGUAAGAUCCGUAGAGAUCAGAAGGAAUACCGAUUGCGAAGGCGAUCUACUGGAACAUUAUUGACGCUGAGACGCGAAAGUGUGGGGAGCAAACAGGAUUAGAUACCCUGGUAGUC